UGUAAGCGUAUACCAAAGUUGUUGCAGUUAAAACGCUCGUAGUCGGAAUUUGGCAGUUCCGGAUGUGUGCACGUCGUGUGCGCACUUCGCGGGGAUUGCUUUUGUGGUCUUGCGUAGGAUGAGGCACUUUUAUUAGUGAACGUCCUCACGCAACCACUUUUUACUGUGGGAAAAUCAGAGUGCUCAAAGCAGGCAUUUGCCGUGAAUGUAUUAGCAUGGAAUAAUAGAAUAGGACUUGGUUCUAUUUUGUUGGUUUGUUGAGACUGAGUAAUGAUUAAGAGGGACAGUUGGGGGCAUUUGUAUUUCGGUGCUAGAGGUGAAAUUCUUAGAUUACCGAAAGACAAACUGCUGCGAAAGCGUCUGCCAAGGAUGUUUUCAUUGA
This 382-nucleotide ribosomal RNA is filed under the name uncultured eukaryote. Its description in RNAcentral is "partial 18S ribosomal RNA". It matches the Rfam family "Eukaryotic small subunit ribosomal RNA", at positions 592 to 976 of the family's 1831-position model. The record is from RNAcentral.